Molecule: long non-coding RNA, 1148 nt
Filed under: Zalophus californianus (California sea lion)
Lineage: Eukaryota; Metazoa; Chordata; Mammalia; Carnivora; Otariidae
Description: lncRNA (ENSZCAG00015013931.1)
Source: RNAcentral
UGACAUUUGACAGGCCUGGAAGUUAUCGUAAAGCAAAAAUGAGAGCGGAAUUCUUCAUACAUAAAGCAUUCACUGAUACAGAGGAAAAACCAUUGGACAAGCAAGAACAUCACCAUUCACACACUGUCUCCGUGUCUUCCCAGCUGCACUCCUGGAGCUGAAACGUCAUCCUCUCUUCAGUGAUGUGGACUGGGAAAAUCUGCAGCAUCAAACUAUGCCUUUCAUACCCCAACCAGAUGAUGAAACAGAUACAUCCUACUUUGAAGCCAGAAAUAAUGCUCAGCACCUGACCGUAUCUGGAUUUAGUCUAUAGCACAUAAAUUUUCCUUUUAAUCUAACCUUGGCUUAUAAACUAUCAUAAUUAUAUACUCCUUCAUAAGAGAGUGAUCUAAGGGGGAAGAAGAAUCAUUAUGUUACUUGGAUCAAUGAGUUUUUAAUGUAUGUUACAGCUUCCACAGAGUUAAAAGUCUCUCAAGAAUACAGUCAAUAACUUGUCUUAAUCUCAGAGUUGUGUAUAGAUCGUCAAAACUUUUUUCACUUUAUUUUGUUACCGCACCUUAUGAAAAUUCAUGCAUCAGUGAAACUAGAAUGACACUACUCUGUUAGAAGAGGAACAAGCUUUGAGCCUAACUUUCUUUCACAUGUUGAUUUCAGUCCACCAUUCACAGUUUGCUGUUAAAAUAACAAAAUCAUACGGUUUUUUUGUGAUUUGUUUGGACAUGAUUGCCUGCAAAAGCUGAAGUCUUGAGAGCAAUCAUUUAAGCUUGCACUUGUGGCUUCAAAACUGCAGCUGGGAAACUCCUUCAUUUGGUAGUGUAACUCCUUUAGGGAAUGAGGAAUAAAAAGGAUAGAGGCUUUAGCUUACUUUGAAACAGUCUUGCUGCCUUGACUACUUCUGGUGCUUUCUCUACAAUACAUAUUUGCUUAAAAUUGUACUGGAGAGCUUAGGUGUGAUAUGCUGUAGCAAUUUUAACAGCUUAUUCAAUUUUAAUAAAACGUGGUGGUUUACAUUUUAAAAGAAUUUGUUUAAAACGUGCAACAUUACAAGAAACAACCUGAUCCUUAAAAAUAAAUAAUAACUUCUUUUUGCUUAAUAAAUGUAACACUUCAAGUAUAUUAUCUGUCAACAUCCUUCUAUUAAAUAUAUA